RNAcentral lists this ribosomal RNA (254 nucleotides) under uncultured bacterium. RNAcentral's name for it is "partial 16S ribosomal RNA". It matches the Rfam family "Bacterial small subunit ribosomal RNA", at positions 524 to 776 of the family's 1533-position model. The record is from RNAcentral.
UACGUAGGGUGCAAGCGUUAAUCGGAAUUACUGGGCGUAAAGCGUGCGCAGGUGGUUGUGCAAGACAGAUGUGAAAUCCCCGGGCUUAACCUGGGAAUUGCAUUUGUGACUGCACAGCUAGAGUGUGGUAGAGGGGGAUGGAAUUCCGCGUGUAGCAGUGAAAUGCGUAGAGAUGUGGAGGAACACCGAUGGCGAAGGCAGCCCCCUGGGCUAACACUGACGCCUCAUGCACGAAAGCGUGGGGAGCAAACAGG